Pelobates cultripes (western spadefoot toad) is the source of this 451-nucleotide non-coding RNA. NCBI's taxonomy places the organism in Eukaryota, Metazoa, Chordata, Amphibia, Anura, Pelobatidae. The record is from the annotation of a GenBank genome assembly.
CUGUUAUUGGCCAUAAAGGUGUUUCAAAUCCAGCCAACUCUGUCUUGUUAUAAUUCGUGACUUGCAACAUUGAUAUGCAUUCAAAGUAUAUAUUGUUCAAACAGUCCAUUGCAAACAGUGUAUAUAAAGCACUUUGUUGGUCUCUGUGUUUAGACUCCUUCAGAGCUUCUUCGUUACUUGCCAAGUUUUUUGCCUGGCAAAAAGGGAAAAGUCUGUCUGCCGUACAAUAAUAUACAUUUCUUGGCUAAUUGUUAAUACUUGGCUGACUGACAACUACCUCACCUUUUCGGCUAGCUGUCAACAAUUCUUACAAUGUACUUUCAAUCCCUCCAGGAGAAUCUUUCUACUCUGUGUCUCCAUCAACACCUCUUUUAAUAGAAUCUCUUGUAAGCAGAUUGCAUGGUGGUGAGAUCUGUACUCUAGCAUCCAAUAAUCCUUUCCGAUAGCAAGA